ACUCAAACUUGAGAGUUUGAUCCUGGCUCAGGACGAACGCUGGCGGCAGGCUUAACACAUGCAAGUCGAACGAGAAGCAUCCUUCGGGAUGUGGACAGUGGCAGACGGGUGAGUAACGCGUGGGAACGUGCCCUUCGGUACGGAACAACAGUUAGAAAUGACUGCUAAUACCGUAUACGACCUCCGGGUGAAAGAUUUAUCGCCGAAGGAUCGGCCCGCGUUAGAUUAGCUUGAUGGUGGGGUAAAGGCCUACCAUGGCGACGAUCUAUAGCUGUUCUGAGAGGAAGAUCAGCCACACUGGGACUGAGACACGGCCCAGACUCCUACGGGAGGCAGCAGUGGGGAAUAUUGGACAAUGGGGGAAACCCUGAUCCAGCCAUGCCGCGUGGAUGAAGAAGGCCUUAGGGUUGUAAAAUCCUUUCGCUAGGGAAGAUAAUGACGGUACCUAGACAAGAAGCCCCGGCUAAUUUCGUGCCAGCAGCCGCGGUAAUACGAAAGG
This 499-nucleotide ribosomal RNA is filed under the name hydrothermal vent metagenome. Its description in RNAcentral is "bacterial SSU rRNA". It matches the Rfam family "Bacterial small subunit ribosomal RNA", at positions 1 to 532 of the family's 1533-position model. The record is from RNAcentral.